AUGAGAACUCAGUUGCCAUUUCUGUCCUCGCAUACCGUCCUGGGCAUCACAAGGGACCUUAAUUCGUCCGUGCCUUCCCUGUCUGGAGUGGCUGCACUUAAGCCUUGUACUUCCAACUCAUUGCCAAGCCACGUCUACUCGAUGACACACUGGGUCCUCGAGCACUAUUCAUGGACCAAGACACAUCACGUAAAGGUACAAGAUCCCAAUGAUAAAUGUAACAAAACUGUAUUGUUUGCUUUAAAUAUACCAAUAGACUUAAUGGGGAAAGAACAUUCAUGGUUUUAAAAGACAAAAGCAAAUCCCAACAAUUUUUUAUGCAUGUUUAUCUAGCUCCUUAUGACAAGCAAACUCCCAGCCGCAACUGUCCUCUUAGCCUCAGUGGAAGAGUCAUCUUCUCUUCCAUCUGUCUGGACAGCCAUCAGAGCCACCUUGGGUCCUGCUCACUCCCAGGGAUCAGCUGGGCAGGAGGAGCUGUACCCCAAGCCUACGCAGUGCUGCAGCCCCAACCUGCAGCCCAGUGAAGCUGCCUUGGGAACCAUGCGACAGCCCCACAGCCUCCAUGGCCAGAAGACCCCUCUGUCCUCACUCACUGGAGAUUCCCUG
RNAcentral lists this long non-coding RNA (606 nucleotides) under Fukomys damarensis (Damara mole-rat). RNAcentral's name for it is "lncRNA (ENSFDAG00000022914.1)". Lineage: Eukaryota; Metazoa; Chordata; Mammalia; Rodentia; Bathyergidae. The record is from RNAcentral.